RNAcentral lists this ribosomal RNA (497 nucleotides) under uncultured bacterium. RNAcentral describes it as "partial 16S ribosomal RNA". It matches the Rfam family "Bacterial small subunit ribosomal RNA", at positions 28 to 507 of the family's 1533-position model. The record is from RNAcentral.
GAUGAACGCUGGCGGCGUGCCUAAUACAUGCAAGUCGAGCGAACAGACGAGGAGCUUGCUCCUCUGACGUUAGCGGCGGGAGGGUGACUAACACGUGUAUAACCUACCUAUAAGACUCGGAUAACUUCGGGAAACCGGAGCUAAUACGGGAUAAGAUAUUGAACCGCAUGGUUCAAUAGUGUAAGACGGUUUUGCGGUCACUUAUAGAUGAAGCCGUGCCGCAUUAGCAAGUUGGUAAGGUAAAGGCUUACCAAGGCAACGAUGCGUAGCCGACCUGAGAGGGUGACCGGCCACACUGGAACUGAGACACGGUCCAGACUCCUACGGGAGGCAGCAGUAGGGAAUCUUCCGCAAUGGGCGAAAGCCUGACGGAGCAACGCCGCGUGAGUGAUGAAGGUCUUCGGAUCGUAAAACUCUGUUAUUAGGGAAGAACAAAUGUGUAAGUAACUAUGCACGUCUUGACGGUACCUAAUCAGAAAGCCACGGCUAACUACGUG